Molecule: ribosomal RNA, 254 nt
Filed under: uncultured bacterium
Lineage: Bacteria
Description: partial 16S ribosomal RNA
Rfam family: Bacterial small subunit ribosomal RNA
Source: RNAcentral
UACGUAGGGGGCGAGCGUUGUCCGAAGUUACUGGGCGUAAAGCGCGCGUAGGCGGUUCAUUUAGUUCGGGGUGAAAGGUUCAACGCUCAACGUGAACAGUGCCUUGAAUACUGGUGGACUUGAGUUCGGGAGAGGGCAGUGGAAUUCCUGGUGUAGCGGUGAAAUGCGUAGAUAUCAGGAGGAACACCGAUGGCGAAGGCAGCUGCCUGGCCUAGAACUGACGCUGAGGUGCGAAAGCGUGGGGAGCGAACAGG